RNAcentral lists this ribosomal RNA (403 nucleotides) under bacterium. Its description in RNAcentral is "partial 16S ribosomal RNA". It matches the Rfam family "Bacterial small subunit ribosomal RNA", at positions 355 to 776 of the family's 1533-position model. The record is from RNAcentral.
UGGGGAAUAUUGCACAAUGGGGGAAACCCUGAUGCAGCGACGCCUCGUGAACGAAGAAGGUAUUCGUAUCGUAAAGUUCUGUCCUAUGGGAAGAUAAUGACAGUACCAUAGAAGAAAGCUCCGUCUAAAUACGUGCCAGCAGCCGCGGUAAUACGUAUGGAGCGAGCGUUGUCCGGAAUUAUUGGGCGUAAAGGGUACGCAGGCGGUUUAAUAAGUCGAAUGUUAAAGAUCGGGGCUCAACCCCGCAAAGCAUUGGAAACUGAUAAACUUGUAGAGUGGAGAGGAAAGUGGAAUUCCUAGUGUAGGGGUGAAAUAGGAAGAUAUUAGGAGGAAUACCGGUAGCGAAGGCGGCUUUCUGGACACAAACUGACGCUGAGGUACGAAAGCGUGGGGAGCAAACAGG